UAACUACUCCUUCCGUCCCAAAAUUCUUGCCUUAGAUUUGUCUAGAUAUGGAUGUAUCUAGCACUGAAAUGUAACUAGAUACAUCCGUAUUUAGACAAAUCUAAGAAAAGAUUUUUGGGACGGAGGGAGUACUUU
Molecule: non-coding RNA, 135 nt
Organism: Triticum aestivum (bread wheat)
Lineage: Eukaryota; Viridiplantae; Streptophyta; Magnoliopsida; Poales; Poaceae
Source: Rfam